This 1732-nucleotide long non-coding RNA is filed under the name Chinchilla lanigera (long-tailed chinchilla). Its description in RNAcentral is "lncRNA (ENSCLAG00000027338.1)". Lineage: Eukaryota; Metazoa; Chordata; Mammalia; Rodentia; Chinchillidae. The record is from RNAcentral.
GGAGGAGGGUACUUCCUGUGUCAUGGCGCCGCGGUGAGCGUUUUGAGUGUGUUGCUGACAGCCACCAGAUGACUAGACCAUCUUGUUCUAUAAUUUCUACUGGCUGCGAGCUGCGUUGGAAGGAUCCUGGGAGACCCCCAAGCCACGCAAUGAUCAGUACAUUACUGAAAUGGUUUUCCAUGGCUUUAUCUACAUCUUUUCCUUUUGGUACAGCAUUAGAAACUCUCUGUCUGGUUUGUAGAAACAAAUUCUAGUAAUAAAUGCUGAUGUUUCAAGAUGCAAAGUAAAUGAGCUCAAAUCUCCACGUUCUCUGCUGCCUUCCUCUGUGACCUAUGUGCCCAGGGAGGAGAGAGAGUGACAGGCUCACCACACGCUCCUCUGCUUUUUGGAGACGCCUAACACAAAGGAGAAACUUUUAAUUGUUUCUGGGAAUUUGACAUCAAGAAGAAGUUUCCAGACAUACAACAAUGCAGAAUGUACUGUCACUGUGUCACCAUGGAAGUGAUUGUGUCACUCCUUGGGGAGGUGAGGUCACAGCAUCAUCUAUGCUUAUCUGUGUGUCUGACCUUCUCUCCCAUGUCGCGGUCUGUGUACCUGUCAGCCUGAAGUCUCCAUCCAUGCAGCACAGCAGAGACAGACACAGAGCUGGACACUGUGAGUUAUGGAUCAUCAGCACAAAGGGGCAGAAAGCUGGGAAACACAGAGAGCUAAAUGCACCGAUGUUCAGCAACCACCAACUGGGUUUCUGAGAAUUAGAAACACAGACUUGGAAGAUGGAGGAGAGGGUAUAAGAUGACACAAAGGUAUUCACAAGAGCCAGAAUCCUGCGGGUAGCUCUGGACUCAGUGGAGGACUUGGAGGAGACAUUGAUCCUGUGAAUGUAUUGGACCUGCUGCCUGUGCCUAUACAGAAUGAAGAGCAUAGAGAUGCUGGUGUAGAUCAUGAGGCUCAAACUGGCCACAUCAGGAAACAAUAGCAGCACUGCAUAUAGCUGUAGAGUGACUGUAUCAGCAUGAUUUGCAGAACAGAAUCCCAAAUCCUUUUGCAGUGUAAUGUUUCUAUUGCUCCAUUUUGCAGUUACAUAUAUGGGAGAAAUUAUAUUUACCAGUAUUUGCAGGGUCCAACACAUGAAAAUACAGAAGCCAGUAUACUUGGGGGCUUUUACUUUAAGCUUUGCCCACCUGAAGUUUCUGGGGCCGAUGGUGAUGGCCUGGAAGCCACUCAAGAGGCAGGUGAUGCUGACGGACACACCCCUGCCCACUCUAUGAAGAUAUAACACAGCUUUGCAUCCAAGAUCAUCGAGGAAAUCUUCCAAGCCAAAAGCUGUCAUUGUCUGGGGGACUCCUCUAGAGAGCAGGGAUAAAGAAUUGGCAACCAUCAAAUGCUGGAGAAUUAAAUCUGUGGACUUUAACUGGUGUCCAGUGAAGGAAAGUAAGAGAUAAUGGCGAAGAAGAAAGAAAUUUCCAAGGGCUCCACACACAGUCUGUGAUAAGAAAACCACUCCCAUUGCUGCCUCCUUGGAGGCCAUUCUGGCAAUUUGCCAGAUGGAUUUUGGUCUUCAGAGCAAGAAAACCCCUCAUAAGAAUACAAUGCAGAGACUGUGUUUAUCAUGAAAACUGGGUUACAUGGUUCUCCACUUACUGCUGGUUUCCUUUAGAGACACUUGUGGUUUUUCAUUCACUGGCUUGUGUUCAAAAGUUAAAGGUACUGUAAACAACACUUGUCACACAAG